CCUAGUAUAUAUAACGCAAUGGUACCACCUGAAUCCAUACCGAACUCAGAAGUGAAACGUUGUAGUGCCGAUGGUAGUAUGGGGUUUCCCCAUGUAAGAGUAGGAAAAUACUAGGA
RNAcentral lists this ribosomal RNA (116 nucleotides) under Enterobacteriaceae endosymbiont of Neohaemonia nigricornis. Lineage: Bacteria; Pseudomonadati; Pseudomonadota; Gammaproteobacteria; Enterobacterales; Enterobacteriaceae. The record is from RNAcentral.